UUGUGGGUGGUAGCUGGUAUGUUGGUGGAAACUCCAUGCUUCCAUGGAACCAGCUGUAGAGGAGUGGUGAUGCAAUGAGCAUCCUGGAAGUUUAGUUGUCAUUUGUCACCUUUUGGAUAAUGGAGUAGAUUUCUGAAGCUAUUUCUCCUUGUUUGGUGUUCUGCCUGCAAUUUGGACAAGUGGACUUCAGAUUAUGUCUUCGUAGACUGAAAGGCUUGGGACUACUUUGGUUUUCUGGGGGUCCACUUCAGACCCUAGUUGCCUUGGUUUUUCCCAUACCUGGAGAUGUCACCAGUGAAGCCUGGGAAACAGCAAAGAGGGCAGCCUGAUCGUUCAUCUGGAAACUUUGUUCCAGCAUAAGAAGCCUCUCACCCUAAACAUCACAGCUGGGAAUAUGCUGGACCACAACUAAAGCCAGCAUGGCACUGACUCUGACCAAAGGUGAGACCCAGUACUCAUCAAGGAUUAGCUUCCAGGGGUCCUAGCAAGGUGCAUCACAGUGUCAAGAAUGCACUGCAUUCAGAGAAGUUCAAACUAUGGAUUCCCACCAGAGAAGCCUGAAGUGCUCUGAAGGCUGCCAACAAAAUGUCAAGUGAGUCCACUGACAAAAAGGAAGAGAAACCUUGGAAAAACAUUAUUGCUUAUGUUCCAUCUGAAUCUGAGCAGCUGACCUGAGGAAGGAGGAUUAUAUGCCAAAAGGCCAGUGGUUAUUCUGAUGGUCCUGAGGUCUCCUAAGGGACAAGCUUGAGGAGGGACUUAAAUGGCCAAGGAUGAAAUAAGAAGCAGAAGAGGCUAAUGGUCUUUCUGAUCCAAAGCUGUAAGGCCCAAUGAACCAAUUGAGUUUAAUCUUUCUUUUCCCCCUUUCUCAUGUCCUAUGUGCUUACACACAAAGUUCAAGACAACUUUUGCCCCAAAAUUGCCUCAACCAAAAAAUGCCUGAGUGGUAGGUGGAAAAGGGGAGUUCUGUUUUUGGUGUUCAAAAUCCUUUCCUUUUAUGUUUUGGGUGCUUUUCUUUGGAAUUACCUUUCCUCCUCUUUGAAGAGGUGAACUUUAGAAAGGAAGACUUAUAGAUGACUUUGGUUAUAGCUGCCUCUCAGGUAAAAGAAGCCCUCUACGUAGUUUAUCCUAGCUUACUGGGGGCUAGAGUGGAAUUGAGGCCACAGUUUCCUUCAUGGUAACACAUAGGAUGUUUUCCUGGCAUACAUGACACUAUAGAGGAGGAAAGGGAAAUGGAACAGGUGACUGUGCAGAAGUGGAUUCUGAAUUUUGGUAUCCUUGAUCCAGACAAAUUUAGCCUGUUUCCAUCACUCACAAUCAUCCUAGGUAGAAUUUAAACUUAGAUCAACCAGAUUUCAAAGCUCAUGCCUUUUCUUUGAAACAUUUUCUACUCAGAAGCAGUGUCAUGGAGGACAGGUAGAAUUUAGAAAGGCAGAGGGGUGGGGCAAGAGGACUCAAGAGAGGGCAGAAGAACAAGGAAAGGCAGAAGGCCAAGGAGAAAGCACUGGAUUACUAAGGAUGGAAUGUGGUGGUGGUGGUAGAGUAAUUGAGACCUCUGGUGCUGGAAAUGGGGACUUUAGAUGUAGUGAUAAUAGAAAAGUGAUAGUGGAGAAAUCGAGACCAGGAAAGGACCCUGUCUUUGGAAGGUGAAUGGAGUAGUCUGGGGAGUCUGAACAGACAUGGACAUGGUGGCAGCAGACUGUUAGGGGCAGGAGCCUUGCGGCUGCUGUGGUCAGCAGCGACUGAUUUUCCCGAACUCUUUCAUAGACACACCAAUCCAUCGGCUCCAAUUCCAUUUUUGCUUUGGAAUUGCAUUUCUAAUCCAAUUCCUCGAUCUGUUGGCAUUUCCUCUGUCUCAGAGGCUUGCAGGCCUGUGACUGAAGAGGUGCAGCUCCCAGUCCCCCUCACUUAGCACUGUCAGUUGGCGGAAGUUAAGAGUACAAAGGAUCUUGGUGGAUGGCUCAGAGUUCCUGCAGCUAAGUUAUGGCCAGAUUAAGGCCUUUAGAUUGAGUCACAAAUGUGAGAGAGAUUCUGGAAGUAGAGGAAGGCAGGUUUAGAAAGAAAAAGUGGUUCCUUAUGAGCUGAUCUAAUCACAAAUGAGCAAAGAAAGCUCCUGGAGCCUAGGCGACAUGCUGGCUGAGUAAAUGAGGAAGAGGAUUUUCACCAAAUAAACUGUCUCCACCUACCACUCCUCAAUUACCCUUAACUCUUCGGGGCUAGCAUGGUAAUGAUGCAUUUAGUUCCCAAGACCUGUAAUGGAAAAGAAGAAGGCAAACUGGUUAAAACAAAUAAUGACUCACGUGACUAAAAUGUCUAGCAGUAGAGAGUGCAGUCUUUAGGCACAUUCUGACCAGGGCUCUGGCUCCAUUUCUCUGGCAUUCUUUCUGCUCUGCCAUUUUGAGUCAGUUGCAUUCCCAGACUGGCUUGCCUUAGAGUUCAAUGGUUGGAGCAUUCCUGGGCUUCACAUCAAUACACCAUUCCAUUCAGAGAAAGAGAGAUUCUCUUUUCCAAACCAUCAAAAGUCUUGAAUUUUGUUCUAAUUGAACCAAUUACUCUGUUGAGGAGGAGGAUCUGCUGUAGGACUUUUGGGGCUAGUGUCAGGAUUGGGGUUGGUAGAUCAAUCUCACUCAGACCCUGUGCCUACACAAUGGAUGGAAAGAGAUAGAUGUUGGAGGGAGAGGGCAGCCAGCAAUGUCCUCUCCAGAGUCAUCAGAGCAAUGGACAAGUGUAUCCAUAGCAUGGAUACACUUAUGUGGAAGAGGACAAAAAACAUGUUUACCACAAUAGUACAGAUCUAGGGCCAUACCUGGAAUGGGUAUAGCAUUGCAGAAGAAAUAUUUUUUCUUGUUUACCCCAAAUAUACCAUUGGCAGCAAAGGCAAUGAUUACAGGGUCAUCUUCUCUAUGACAUUUCCAUAGCCUUGCCAAAGAAAUAGGUUGAUAGAUUGAUGUAUAGAUGGAUGGAUGGAUAGCUAGCUAGCUGGUGGAUAGGUGG
This 2991-nucleotide long non-coding RNA is filed under the name Homo sapiens (human). Its description in RNAcentral is "HSALNT0314987". The record is from RNAcentral. Lineage: Eukaryota; Metazoa; Chordata; Mammalia; Primates; Hominidae.